CGGGUGCUAACGUCCGUCGUGAAGAGGGAAACAACCCAGACCGCCAGCUAAGGUCCCAAAGUCAUGGUUAAGUGGGAAACGAUGUGGGAAGGCACAGACAGCCAGGAUGUUGGCUUAGAAGCAGCCAUCAUUUAAAGAAAGCGUAAUAGCUCACUGGUCGAGUCGGCCUGCGCGGAAGAUGUAACGGGGCUAAACCAUGCACCGAAGCUGCGGCAGCGACACUAUGUGUUGUUGGGUAGGGGAGCGUUCUGUAAGCCUGCGAAGGUGUGCUGUGAGGCAUGCUGGAGGUAUCAGAAGUGCGAAUGCUGACAUAAGUAACGAUAAAGCGGGUGAAAAGCCCGCUCGCCGGAAGACCAAGGGUUCCUGUCCAACGUUAAUCGGGGCAGGGUGAGUCGACCCCUAAGGCGAGGCCGAAAGGCGUAGUCGAUGGGAAACAGGUUAAUAUUCCUGUACUUGGUGUUACUGCGAAGGGGGGACGGAGAAGGCUAUGUUAGCCGG
RNAcentral lists this ribosomal RNA (498 nucleotides) under Klebsiella pneumoniae. RNAcentral describes it as "partial 23S ribosomal RNA". It matches the Rfam family "Bacterial large subunit ribosomal RNA", at positions 992 to 1494 of the family's 2925-position model. Lineage: Bacteria; Pseudomonadati; Pseudomonadota; Gammaproteobacteria; Enterobacterales; Enterobacteriaceae. The record is from RNAcentral.